AUUGAACGCUGGCGGCAGGCCUAACACAUGCAAGUCGAGCGGAUGAAGGGAGCUUGCUCCUGGAUUCAGCGGCGGACGGGUGAGUAAUGCCUAGGAAUCUGCCUGGUAGUGGGGGAUAACGUCCGGAAACGGGCGCUAAUACCGCAUACGUCCUGAGGGAGAAAGUGGGGGAUCUUCGGACCUCACGCUAUCAGAUGAGCCUAGGUCGGAUUAGCUAGUUGGUGGGGUAAAGGCCUACCAAGGCGACGAUCCGUAACUGGUCUGAGAGGAUGGUCAGUCACACUGGAACUGAGACACGGUCCAGACUCCUACGGGAGGCAGCAGUGGGGAAUAUUGGACAAUGGGCGAAAGCCUGAUCCAGCCAUGCCGCGUGUGUGAAGAAGGUCUUCGGAUUGUAAAGCACUUUAAGUUGGGAGGAAGGGCAGUAAGUUAAUACCUUGCUGUUUUGACGUUACAACAGAAUAAGCACCGGCUAACUUCGUG
RNAcentral lists this ribosomal RNA (483 nucleotides) under uncultured bacterium. RNAcentral's name for it is "partial 16S ribosomal RNA". It matches the Rfam family "Bacterial small subunit ribosomal RNA", at positions 30 to 507 of the family's 1533-position model. The record is from RNAcentral.